UUCAGAGAUGGAGUGUUCUAUCUUCGGAUAGACAAGGAGACAGGUGGUGCAUGGUUGUCGUCAGCUCGUGUCGUGAGAUGUUGGGUUAAGUCCCGCAACGAGCGCAACCCUUAUUCUUAGUUGCCAGCAUGAAGAUGGGCACUCUAAGGAGACUGCCGGUGACAAACCGGAGGAAGGUGGGGAUGACGUCAAAUCAUCAUGCCCUUUAUGACCUGGGCUACACACGUGCUACAAUGGCCUGUACAAAGGGUAGCGAAGCAGUAAUGCGGAGCCAAUCCCAAAAAGCAGGUCUCAGUUCGGAUUGCAGGCUGCAACUCGCCUGCAUGAAGUCGGAAUCGCUAGUAAUCGCGGAUCAGCAUGCCGCGGUGAAUACGUUCCCGGGCCUU
This 386-nucleotide ribosomal RNA is filed under the name uncultured Peptococcaceae bacterium. RNAcentral describes it as "bacterial SSU rRNA". It matches the Rfam family "Bacterial small subunit ribosomal RNA", at positions 999 to 1382 of the family's 1533-position model. Lineage: Bacteria; Bacillati; Bacillota; Clostridia; Eubacteriales; Peptococcaceae. The record is from RNAcentral.